UACGGGAGGCAGCAGUGGGGAAUAUUGGACAAUGGGCGGAAGCCUGAUCCAGCCAUGCCGCGUGUGUGAAGAAGGCCUUUUGGUUGUAAAGCACUUUAAGCGAGGAGGAGGCUACUAGUAUUAAUACUACUGGAUAGUGGACGUUACUCGCAGAAUAAGCACCGGCUAACUCUGUGCCAGCAGCCGCGGUAAU
Molecule: ribosomal RNA, 193 nt
Filed under: uncultured bacterium
Lineage: Bacteria
Description: partial 16S ribosomal RNA
Rfam family: Bacterial small subunit ribosomal RNA
Source: RNAcentral